AUUGAACGCUGGCGGCAGGCCUAACACAUGCAAGUCGAACGGUAACAGGAAGCAGCUUGCUGCUUCGCUGACGAGUGGCGGACGGGUGAGUAAUGUCUGGGAAACUGCCUGAUGGAGGGGGAUAACUACUGGAAACGGUAGCUAAUACCGCAUAACGUCGCAAGACCAAAGAGGGGGACUUUAGGGCCUCUUGCCAUCGGAUGUGCCCAGAUGGGAUUAGCUAGUAGGUGGGGUAACGGCUCACCUAGGCGACGAUCCCUAGCUGGUCUGAGAGGAUGACCAGCCACACUGGAACUGAGACACGGUCCAGACUCCUACGGGAGGCAGCAGUAGGGAAUAUUGCACAAUGGGCGCAAGCCUGAUGCAGCCAUGCCGCGUGUAUGAAGAAGGCCUUCGGGUUGUAAAGUACUUUCAGCGGGGAGGAAGGGAGUAAAGUUAAUACCUUCGCUCAUUGACGUUACCCGCAGAAGAAGCACCGGCUAACUCCGUG
Molecule: ribosomal RNA, 490 nt
Filed under: uncultured bacterium
Lineage: Bacteria
Description: partial 16S ribosomal RNA
Rfam family: Bacterial small subunit ribosomal RNA
Source: RNAcentral